This 446-nucleotide ribosomal RNA is filed under the name uncultured bacterium. RNAcentral describes it as "bacterial SSU rRNA". It matches the Rfam family "Bacterial small subunit ribosomal RNA", at positions 329 to 792 of the family's 1533-position model. The record is from RNAcentral.
GUCCAGACUCCUACGGGAGGCAGCAGUGGGGAAUAUUGCACAAUGGGGGAAACCCUGAUGCAGCGACGCCGCGUGAGCGAUGAAGUAUUUCGGUAUGUAAAGCUCUCUCAGCAGGGAAGAAGAUGACGGUACCUGACUAAGAAGCCCCGGCUAACUACGUGCCAGCAGCCGCGGUAAUACGUAGGGGGCAAGCGUUAUCCGGAUUUACUGGGUGUAAAGGGAGCGUAGACGGCGAUGCAAGCCAGAUGUGAAAGCCCGGGGCUCAACCCCGGGACUGCAUUUGGAACUGUGUGGCUGGAGUGUCGGAGAGGCAGGCGGAAUUCCUAGUGUAGCGGUGAAAUGCGUAGAUAUCGGGAGGAACACCAGUGGCGAAGGCGGCCUGCUGGACAUUAACUGACGCUGAGGCGCGAAAGCGUGGGGAGCAAACAGGAUUAGAUACCCUCGUA